Molecule: ribosomal RNA, 205 nt
Filed under: Escherichia coli
Lineage: Bacteria; Pseudomonadati; Pseudomonadota; Gammaproteobacteria; Enterobacterales; Enterobacteriaceae
Also listed under: 1 other name
Description: partial 16S ribosomal RNA
Rfam family: Bacterial small subunit ribosomal RNA
Source: RNAcentral
AAAUUGAAGAGUUUGAUCAUGGCUCAGAUUGAACGCUGGCGGCAGGCCUAACACAUGCAAGUCGAACGGUAACAGGAAACAGCUUGCUGUUUCGCUGACGAGUGGCGGACGGGUGAGUAAUGUCUGGGAAACUGCCUGAUGGAGGGGGAUAACUACUGGAAACGGUAGCUAAUACCGCAUAAUGUCGCAAGACUAAAGAGGGGGA